Molecule: ribosomal RNA, 486 nt
Filed under: uncultured bacterium
Lineage: Bacteria
Description: partial 16S ribosomal RNA
Rfam family: Bacterial small subunit ribosomal RNA
Source: RNAcentral
AUUGAACGCUGGCGGCAUGCCUUACACAUGCAAGUCGAACGGCAGCACGGGGGGUAACCCCUGGUGGCGAGUGGCGAACGGGUGAGUAAUAUAUCGGAACGUGUCCUGUAGCGGGGGAUAACCUAUCGAAAGAUGGACUAAUACCGCAUACGACCUACGGGUGAAAGCGGAGGACCUCAAGGCUUCGCACUAUAGGAGCGGCCGAUAUCGGAUUAGCUAGUUGGCGGGGUAACGGCCCACCAAGGCGACGAUCCGUAGCUGGUCUGAGAGGACGAUCAGCCACACUGGAACUGAGACACGGUCCAGACUCCUACGGGAGGCAGCAGUGGGGAAUUUUGGACAAUGGGCGCAAGCCUGAUCCAGCCAUGCCGCGUGAGUGAAGAAGGCCUUCGGGUUGUAAAGCUCUUUCGGCGGGGACGAAACGGUUCGUGCUAAUACCACGGACUACUGACGGUACCCGCAGAAGAAGCACCGGCUAACUACGUG